This is an RNA transcript of Eucalyptus grandis, 948 nucleotides long. RefSeq lists it as uncharacterized. The transcript has a single exon. The record is from RefSeq and is a predicted model, not a curated record. NCBI's taxonomy places the organism in Eukaryota, Viridiplantae, Streptophyta, Magnoliopsida, Myrtales, Myrtaceae.
AAUAUCAAACUCAACCUAUCUUCAUUUUCCAAGUUUCAUUUUCAAGAAACCCUCGAAUUUAGACCUCCAGCAGCUUCGAGCUCCGACGAAACUCCCAUAACCAGAAAAAGAGAGGAGGUGAGAGAUGGGGGUGGUGAUCAUCGACGGCUCGACGGUGCGGCCUUCGUCGGCGACGAGGAGCAGUUCAAGAAGAGCGUGGACGAGCGGUUCGCCGCCCUGGACCUGAACCGGGACGGCGUCCUCUCCCGGUCGGAGCUCCGCAAGGCCUUCGAGUCGAUGCGCCUCAUCGAGACGCACUUCGGGGUGGACGUCGCCACCCCGCCGCAGGAGCUCACCCGCCUCUACGACUCCAUCUUCGAGCGCUUCGACGGCGACGGCAGCGGCACCGUCGACCUCGAGGAGUUCCGGUCGGAGAUGCGGAAGAUCAUGCUCGCCAUCGCCGACGGCCUCGGGUCGUGCCCCAUCCAGAUGGCGCUCGAGGACGACAACUCCAGCCUCCUCAAGCAAGCCGCGGACCUCGAGGCCGCAAAGCUCGGCGGCGGCGGCGGCGGCGGCGGCGAGGCCAAGUCGUGAGGCUCCGAUCAGGCCGGUGGAUCGGUGAUCGGUGAGUAAUGAAUAAGAUCCGAGAUGUGUAAUUGCGUAACCCAGUUGUUUGCUUCUCUCUGCAGUUUGAACGAAUUGGUUACGAUAUGAGUCGGGUCGUGACCGCAUAUUCUCGUGAAGCAUAAAUCUUUGCCAGAUUUUACAUGACAUGAAAAAAAUAAAAGUUCACAAAAAAAAAAAAUUGUAGCUCGGAGUAUGGAGGCAUUGAUAGCUGUGUUUUGUCGGUUCGAUUCAUUAAAUUAUCUGAAUUUUCGAGGAGAAAGUUGCUCGAUUAUUUUAUUGUUGUGUUAAUUUGUGAUACACAAGGUUUGCCAUUCGAAUCAUAGUGCUACUUUGUUUAUCUAA